CGCCCUACGGGGGAAAGCAGGGGAUCUUCGGACCUUGCGCUAAUAGAUGAGCCUAAGUCGGAUGAGCUAGUUGGUGGGGUAAAGGCCUACCAAGGCGACGAUCUGUAGCGGGUCUGAGAGGAUGAUCCGCCACACUGGGACUGAGACACGGCCCAGACUCCUACGGGAGGCAGCAGUGGGGAAUAUUGGACAAUGGGCGAAAGCCUGAUCCAGCCAUGCCGCGUGUGUGAAGAAGGCCUUUUGGUUGUAAAGCACUUUAAGCGAGGAGGAGGCUACUUGGAUUAAUACUCUAGGAUAGUGGACGUUACUCGCAGAAUAAGCACCGGCUAACUCUGUGCCAGCAGCCGCGGUAAUACAGAGGGUGCGAGCGUUAAUCGGAUUUACUGGGCGUAAAGCGUGCGUAGGCGGCUUUUUAAGUCGGAUGUGAAAUCCCUGAGCUUAACUUAGGAAUUGCAUUCGAUACUGGGAAGCUAGAGUAUGGGAGAGGAUGGUAGAAUUCCAGGUGUAGCGGUGAAAUGCGUAGAGAUCUGGAGGAAUACCGAUGGCGAAGGCAGCCAUCUGGCCUAAUACUGACGCUGAGGUACGAACGCAUGGGGAGCAGACAGGAUUAGAUACCCUGGUAGUCCAUGCCGUACACGAUGUCUACUAGCCGUUGGGGCCUUUGAAGGCUUUAGUGGCGCAGCUAACGCGAUAAGUAGACCGCCUGGGGGAGU
Molecule: ribosomal RNA, 713 nt
Filed under: Acinetobacter johnsonii
Lineage: Bacteria; Pseudomonadati; Pseudomonadota; Gammaproteobacteria; Moraxellales; Moraxellaceae
Description: bacterial SSU rRNA
Rfam family: Bacterial small subunit ribosomal RNA
Source: RNAcentral